Molecule: ribosomal RNA, 444 nt
Filed under: uncultured bacterium
Lineage: Bacteria
Description: bacterial SSU rRNA
Rfam family: Bacterial small subunit ribosomal RNA
Source: RNAcentral
GGAAUCUUGCACAAUGGGCGAAAGCCUGAUGCAGCGACGCCGCGUGGGGGAUGAAGGCCUUAGGGUCGUAAACCCCUUUCAGCAGGGACGAAAAUGACGGUACCUGCAGAAGAAGCCCCGGCCAACUACGUGCCAGCAGCCGCGGUAAGACGUAGGGGCGAGCGUUGUCCGGAUUUAUUGGGCGUAAAGAGCUCGUAGGCGGUUGCGUAAGUCGGAUGUGAAAACUCAGGGCUCAACCCUGAGACGCCAUCCGAUACUGCGCUGACUUGAAUCCAGUAGGGGAGUGUGGAAUUCCUGGUGUAGCGGUGAAAUGCGCAGAUAUCAGGAGGAACACCCAUGGCGAAGGCAGCACUCUGGGCUGGUAUUGACACUCAAGUGCGAAAGCGUGGGGAGCAAACAGGAUUAGAUACCCGAGUAGUCCCUGAGCGGGCUGGCAAGGCGCAU